CCUACGGGAGGCAGCAGUGGGGAAUCUUGCGCAAUGGGCGGAAGCCUGACGCAGCGACGCCGCGUGCGGGAGGAAGGCCCUCGGGUCGUAAACCGCUUUCAGCUAGGGACGAGGCCGCAAGGUGACGGUACCUGCAGAAGAAGCCCCGGCUAACUACGUGCCAGCAGCCCGCGGUAAUAC
This 180-nucleotide ribosomal RNA is filed under the name uncultured bacterium. RNAcentral's name for it is "partial 16S ribosomal RNA". It matches the Rfam family "Bacterial small subunit ribosomal RNA", at positions 338 to 526 of the family's 1533-position model. The record is from RNAcentral.